GGGGGCAUGGCUCAGUGGUAGAGCAUAUGCUUAGCAUGCAUGAGGUCCUGGAUUCAAUCCCCAGUACCUCCA
This 72-nucleotide transfer RNA is filed under the name Camelus bactrianus (Bactrian camel). It matches the Rfam family "tRNA". Rfam says of the family: Transfer RNA (tRNA) molecules are approximately 80 nucleotides in length. Their secondary structure includes four short double-helical elements and three loops (D, anti-codon, and T loops). Lineage: Eukaryota; Metazoa; Chordata; Mammalia; Artiodactyla; Camelidae. RNAcentral also lists the same sequence under 2 other names. The record is from Rfam by way of RNAcentral.